This 437-nucleotide unclassified non-coding RNA is filed under the name Hevea brasiliensis (rubber tree). Lineage: Eukaryota; Viridiplantae; Streptophyta; Magnoliopsida; Malpighiales; Euphorbiaceae. The record is from RNAcentral.
GGAAAUCCACCAGUUCGGUCGAGGUGGUGAUGCGAACGUCGAUCUCCGGAUGCUGUUCCUGAAAGGACGACAAUCUGGGCAGCAGCCAUUAGCGAUGUCAGGGUGCUGAUCGUCAGCACGCGAUCGUCGCCCUUACGCAGCAGGCGGUCGGUGGCGGUGCGCAAAUCCUGAAACGCGGCACGGAUGCCCGGCAGAUACUCCAGCGAGCGGCUCUGCCGGAUGAACAGCCGGAUGCCGAGUUCUUCCUCCAGCCGCCGGAUCUGGUGGCUGAUGGCGGUCUGGGUGACGUUCAGUUCCUGCGCGGCGUGGGUGAAACUGAGGUGCCGUGCGGCGGCCUCGAAUGCGCGCAAACCGUUGAGCGAGGGCAAUCUGGCGNAUCGGCCCCUCUAAUGCAUGAUAUUAUCUCAUAUUACAGGGGACAAGCUAUCGUUUGUCAA